This 344-nucleotide ribosomal RNA is filed under the name uncultured fungus. Its description in RNAcentral is "SSU rRNA". It matches the Rfam family "Eukaryotic small subunit ribosomal RNA", at positions 292 to 636 of the family's 1831-position model. Lineage: Eukaryota; Fungi. The record is from RNAcentral.
GGUUCAUUCAAAUUUCUGCCCUAUCAACUUUCGAUGGUAGGAUAGUGGCCUACCAUGGUAUCAACGGGUAACGGGGAAUUAGGGUCCGAUUCCGGAGAGGGAGCCUGAGAAACGGCUACCACACCCAAGGAAGGCAGCAGGCGCGCAAAUUACCCAAUCCCGACCGGGGAGGUAGUGACAAUAAAUACUGAUACAGGGCUCUUUUGGGUCUUGUAAUCGGAAUGAGUACAAUUUAAACCCCUUAACGAGGAACAAUUGGAGGGCAAGUCUGGUGCCAGCAGCCGCGGUAAUUCCAGCUCCAAUAGCGUAUAUUAAAGUUGUUGCAGUUACAAAGCUCGUAGUUG